This 568-nucleotide ribosomal RNA is filed under the name uncultured bacterium. RNAcentral's name for it is "partial 16S ribosomal RNA". It matches the Rfam family "Bacterial small subunit ribosomal RNA", at positions 355 to 1375 of the family's 1533-position model. The record is from RNAcentral.
UGGGGAAUAUUGCACAAUGGGCGAAAGCCUGAUGCAGCGACGCCGCGUGAGGGAUGACGGCCUUCGGGUUGUAAACCUCUUUCAGCAGGGAAGAAGCGAAAGUGACGGUACCUGCAGAAGAAGCGCCGGCUAACUACGUGCCAGCAGCCGCGGUAAUACGUAGGGCGCAAGCGUUGUCCGGAAUUAUUGGGCGUAAAGAGCUCGUAGGCGGUUAGUCGCGUCUGCUGUGAAAACUCGAGGCUCAACCUCGGGCUUGCAGUGGGUACGGGCUGACUAGAGUGCGGUAGGGGUGACUGGAAUUCCUGGUGUAGCGGUGGAAUGCGCAGAUAUCAGGAGGAACACCGAUGGCGAAGGCAGGUCACUGGGCCGCAACUGACGCUGAGGAGCGAAGCAUGGGGAGCGAACAGGAUUAGAUACCCUGGUAGUCCAUGCCGUAAACGUUGGGCACUAGGUGUGGGGUCCAUUUCCACGGAUUCCGUGCCGCAGCAAACGCAUUAAGUGCCCCGCCUGGGGAGUACGGCCGCAAGGCUAAAACUUAAAGGAAUUGACGGGGUCAUAGCUGUUUCCU